AUGGCUCAGGACGAACGGCUGGCGGCGUGCCUAAUACAUGCAAGUCGAACGGUCUUUCUAUGGAAGCUUGCUUCCACUGAGAAGAUAGUGGCGAACGGGUGAGUAACACGUGGGUAACCUGCCCAUAAGAGGGGGAUAACAUCCGGAAACGGGUGCUAAUACCGCAUAGUUUUCUUGAUCGCAUGAUCGGGAAAGGAAAGACGGCCUUUGUGCUGUCGCUUAUGGAUGGACCCGCGGCGUAUUAGUUAGUUGGUGAGGUAACGGCUCACCAAGACGAUGAUACGUAGCCGACCUGAGAGGGUGAUCGGCCACAUUGGGACUGAGACACGGCCCAAACUCCUACGGGAGGCAGCAGUAGGGAAUCUUCCGCAAUGGACGAAAGUCUGACGGAGCAACGCCGCGUGAGUGAAAGAAGGUUUUCGGAUCGUAAAACUCUGUUGUCAGAGAAGAACAAGUUGGAGAGUAACUGCUCCAGCCUUGACGGUAUCUGACCAGAAAGCCACGGCUAACUACGUGCCAGCCGCGGC
RNAcentral lists this ribosomal RNA (527 nucleotides) under uncultured bacterium. Its description in RNAcentral is "bacterial SSU rRNA". It matches the Rfam family "Bacterial small subunit ribosomal RNA", at positions 19 to 518 of the family's 1533-position model. The record is from RNAcentral.